Anolis carolinensis (green anole) is the source of this 359-nucleotide non-coding RNA. NCBI's taxonomy places the organism in Eukaryota, Metazoa, Chordata, Lepidosauria, Squamata, Anolidae. The record is from Rfam.
GGUUCUCAACCCGUGGCUGCGACAUCUGUCACCCCAUUGAUCGCCAGGGUUGAUUCGGCUGAUCUGGCUGGCUAGGCGGGUGUCCCCUUCCUCCCUCACCGCUCCAUGUGCGUCCCUCCUGAAGCUGCGCGCUCGGUGGAAGAGGACGACGUCCCAGGUAUAGAAGGAGUGUACCGAGGUCUCCAGUCUUCAGUCCCGGGUAUACGAUAGCUGCGUUCCCCUGCUAGAACCUCCAAACAAGCCAAGCAAAUCCUUGUUGAGACCACCUUCCAACUGGAAAUGUAUGUCCCUACUGUGGAAGAUUAUGCAAAUCCAGAAUAAGUUUCUACAGUCACUUAUGGACCCACUGCUAAGACUCU